RNAcentral lists this ribosomal RNA (312 nucleotides) under Triticum aestivum (bread wheat). RNAcentral's name for it is "partial small subunit ribosomal RNA". The record is from RNAcentral. Lineage: Eukaryota; Viridiplantae; Streptophyta; Magnoliopsida; Poales; Poaceae.
AUGUUGCAUAUACAAAAACAAGACUGUAGCCAGUUACCAACUGCAGUGUCAAUGUCCCUGACGAACGCUUAUUGUGCAUUAACUGAAGGCUACAGAAUCUUUCUGCAGCAUAUAGCAGUUGCUAUCAGAACCGUGCCUUGCAAUCCACCCUUCCCGAUUAACAUAUCUGGGAUUGGAGAAAAAGAAUUAGCUUUCACUUUUGCUGAAAAAAAGGGAGCAUGUACACGAAAGUACCUGCUGAUGAUAAGUUUGAUGUGGCAAGUUUCAGUUUCUCAUAGUAACUCAACAGCCUGCACACUGACUGAAGAGUAA